Mesocricetus auratus (golden hamster) is the source of this 1011-nucleotide long non-coding RNA. RefSeq lists it as uncharacterized. The transcript is spliced from 3 exons. Lineage: Eukaryota; Metazoa; Chordata; Mammalia; Rodentia; Cricetidae. The record is from RefSeq and is a predicted model, not a curated record.
UGUUGGGAGCGGUAAACAAUACAAGAGGGACAUUUCCUGACCAUAACUGGCUCUCUAGAACAGCAGAACAGUUAACAGUGCCCUGUGGAAAUGGUCACUGGUGAUAGGUCAGUGUGUGAUAAACAGGAGCACAAUACCCUCAACCCAGGAGAGUGACUCCGAGAAUGGAUUCUAUGACAAUUCACUUCCUCACUGCAUUCCUGCCACCCCCAGAAGAGGAAUACUACCUUCCCGGAGAUCUGUGUCCUCCCCGAGCGAUCUAAAACAAACAAUCCCAGAAGUGCCCCUGAGGCUCAGGCAGAGUCAUUUCAUACACCUCUUGGAAACAGGAUUCCUGAAUGCCAGAGACAAAUCAAAAGGAUUUUAUUUCCUGGUUGGUUGUCUGAGGGAAUCAUGGAGGGAUUUAGCCAACUGAAAAAAAAAACUUGUUUCAAAGAAUGAGCACUGCACACCUGCCUCCAAGAAACCGCAAAUAGUUCUGCUCCGCUGCUGACGCACUGUACAUAAGGAAGCAAGUUUCUCCUGCUUGCAUUCCGCCCAAGGUUCAGAUGACAGCUUACAGAACGGCUGCAUCCAUGGUGAUGUAAACCCAUGCCAGAAACGCCCUGUUCCCUAUGCCCAAAAAACACCUAGCUAGUUCCAGAGGCAUCGUCCCAGCUCGAUCCACACACCCUCUACAAAUACAAACCAAAGGUAGCACCUGAGCGGGGAGCUCUCCUGUCUAUGUACUGUCUGCGUCUGUCUCUACUUCAUGCCAAGCUUUAGAUGUUACCGGUGUCAUUGGAAUAAAAGUAUUUCUAAUAAAAUUUCAAACAGGAGCAAGAAGGCAGAUUUUAAUUCGGUAUUUUUAAAGGCAAUUUCCGUAAUAAGUUUUCUGCAAUUAAGUUGCCACAUUAGGAUAUUUCUGUGAACAGUAUACUUAGAAAGUGAGAAAACUCCAUAAAAAUGCCGAUAAGAACUAUUUCUAAAGACGUUGCUGCACAGAUAAAUGCUCCUCACGGCUGACUCCUU